This 443-nucleotide ribosomal RNA is filed under the name uncultured bacterium. Its description in RNAcentral is "bacterial SSU rRNA". It matches the Rfam family "Bacterial small subunit ribosomal RNA", at positions 29 to 506 of the family's 1533-position model. The record is from RNAcentral.
ACGAACGCUGGCGGUAUGCUUAACACAUGCAAGUCGAACGAACCUAUUGACUUCGGUUAAUAAGUUAGUGGCAGACGGGUGAGUAACGCGUGGGAAUGUACCCUUUAGUUCGGAAUAACUACGGGAAACUGUAGCUAAUACCGGAUAAGCCCUUCGGGGGAAAGAUUUAUCGCUAAAGGAACAGCCCGCGUUAGAUUAGGUAGUUGGUGAGGUAAAAGCUCACCAAGCCGACGAUCUAUAGCUGGUUUGAGAGGAUGAUCAGCCACACUGGGACUGAGACACGGCCCAGACUCCUACGGGAGGCAGCAGUGGGGAAUAUUGGACAAUGGGGGCAACCCUGAUCCAGCAAUACCGCGUGAGUGAAGAAGGCCUUCGGGUUGUAAAGCUCUUUUACCGGGGAAGAUAAUGACGGUACCCGGGGAAUAAGCUCCGGCUAACUUCGU